Molecule: ribosomal RNA, 304 nt
Filed under: uncultured bacterium
Lineage: Bacteria
Description: partial 16S ribosomal RNA
Rfam family: Bacterial small subunit ribosomal RNA
Source: RNAcentral
CAGCAGUAGCCGCGGGAAUACAGAGGGUGCGAGCGUUAAUCGGAUUUACUGGGCGUAAAGCGUGCGUAGGCGGCUUCUUAAGUCGGAUGUGAAAUCCCUGAGCUUAACUUAGGAAUUGCAUUCGAUACUGGGAAGCUAGAGUAUGGGAGAGGAUGGUAGAAUUCCAGGUGUAGCGGUGAAAUGCGUAGAGAUCUGGAGGAAUACCGAUGGCGAAGGCAGCCAUCUGGCCUAAUACUGACGCUGAGGUACGAAAGCAUGGGGAGCAAACAGGAUUAGAUACCCCGGUAGUCCCUGUCUCUUAUAU